RNAcentral lists this long non-coding RNA (1663 nucleotides) under Homo sapiens (human). Its description in RNAcentral is "HSALNT0052575". Lineage: Eukaryota; Metazoa; Chordata; Mammalia; Primates; Hominidae. The record is from RNAcentral.
AGGAGCACAUGGAGACAAGGAUCUCAGUACAGAUGCUAGGGCUUAAAAAUGGGAAUACGUCUUAAGCAGAGAAAAUGGGAUCUUUUCUGGAUUGAAGAGUGUUAGCCAUUAAGUUCUCAAGUCCCUGUCUUAUUUGACAUUAUCCAAGAAAGAAGCAGAACACAGGAAAAUUUUCACAUCUGAGGAUAACACUAAGGUUUUCUGAGUAAUAAAUAACAAGUAUAAGGAAGCUAUAGAAAGAUCCCAUGAAAUCGAGGGCUAAAAAGUGGCAGGUGAUACUCAAUAUUGAUGAGAGUCUGAUAAAAUGUUUCAGGAAAAUGAUCCUUUACAUGAAACAACUUCAAAAGUGUCUCUAUAGCCCGUUGAUUUAUAAAUGAUUAAAAAGUCAGCCCAUGAAGACAAAAAAUGGGGAAGACAAUAUUAGAGAAAGGUGGAAAAUGAUAAAUGAGUGUUAAGUAACUUGGCAAAAAAAUAAAGCGUGCCGGUAAUGUGAAAGCAUAUUCAGAUUGUGGAGCCCAAAAACCCCCGAAAGCAGAGCUGCCAGAUGAAGGGUAGGUCCAGUUCCUGUAUGGCGAGGCACCAUAUUGAAAACAGAGAGCUAAGGAAAUAGCUACAUAAUUAACAGGCAUAUCCCCAUCCUUCUCUACCCGUUUACAGCAUGCUAGCCUACAAGUCUGUAAGUACUAGGCAGGUGAUUGGAAAUAUUUCCUGUAGAAAUAGAUUAACCCUGGAGAAAGACCCACAGAUUUCCCUAUUGCAAAUGUCAUGCCUGAUUCAGCUUCAUUGAAACACAAUGGUUUGACCAACCCAUAUAUGCAUAGAUUAUAAUCAGCUUUUUAGUACUUUAUAAAAUAUGAUUACAUCUCCAAGGAUCACCUGAUGUUUGUGAAAAGUUUUUAACAUCAAAGACUGAGACUGGGUUGGCUGCAUGUAAUCAUUGACCAGAAAUAACAAUGCCUUAAAUAUAAGAGGAAUGACUAGAGCUCCAGAUACCAUGUCCAAUUCCAAGCAGUAAGGAAGGAAAAAGGGCAGAAGGGUAAAAGGGCUAGCCUUUAUUUGUGUCAACUCCCUUUAAGCAGGUUCCCCAGAAGCCCUACAAAACACUUCGUUGGCCAGAACAUGCUCAUAUGAAUAUAUCUAGCUACAAGGGAGGUUGGAAAAUAUAGACUUUCAACAGGAUAAAUAUCUCUCCUGAAUAAUAUUGUUUUAUAGAUGAAGGAAAGAAUGAACUUUUGGUAAACAACCUGCAUACACACACACACGCGCACGCGCGCGCACACACACACACACACACAGGCUGAAUAAAGUAACUUGAAAAAAAUAAGAUUGAUGUACUAGAAGCAGAAAACUCCAAAAUAUGAUAUUUUCAGAAAGAAGAUAUUUACCCAUGAAUAAAGAACAGAUUUCUAUUUAAAAGAAAAGAACAAUAAAAAACCACAGAGCUCCUUGAAAUAAAAAAGAAAAUACAGUAGUCACAAAAGAGGGGGAUUGUGGACUAAAAUAUACAGUUGAAGAAAUCUCACAGAAAAGUGAAAGCAAGAAGAUUAAGGAGAAAAGAAUAGAAAACUAGAAAAUCCAGAAAUCCAAAUAUUUUAAUAAUAAGUGCUUAAGAAAAAGAUGUCAGGAAAAUUAGAGGAGUAAAAGAAAUAAUUAAAAGCUUUUU